Molecule: transfer RNA, 77 nt
Filed under: Planctomycetota bacterium
Lineage: Bacteria; Pseudomonadati; Planctomycetota
Description: Planctomycetes bacterium tRNA-Arg
Rfam family: tRNA
About the family: Transfer RNA (tRNA) molecules are approximately 80 nucleotides in length. Their secondary structure includes four short double-helical elements and three loops (D, anti-codon, and T loops).
Source: RNAcentral
GUCCCCGUAGCUCAGCAGGAUAGAGCAUCGGUUUCCUAAACCGAAGGCCGCACGUUCGAAUCGUGCCGGGGACGCCA